Molecule: long non-coding RNA, 1417 nt
Organism: Ornithodoros turicata
Lineage: Eukaryota; Metazoa; Arthropoda; Arachnida; Ixodida; Argasidae
Exons: 2
Source: RefSeq, a predicted model, not a curated record
UGCUUUGGUCGUAUAGACAGAGAGAUAAUGUCUCUCGGCUUUGAAGAAAAACAGAGAUCCUCUCAUGGUGCCUGGGUGUUGGAUUCAUAAAACAAAGGUCUCUGCUGUUCACAGUUAAUUACAUAUAUUUUCUAUGCCUUGGACACCUUCAUCAGGGUUCGUAGUGUUUGUUAGAAUGAAAAUUGUAUGUUGGUCGAUUUUAUGAUGGUUGAAUGAUGGAUUAUUUUCCUCUGUUGUUGUUUAAAUGUCGCCGCUUAGAGUGUUCCCCUGUUCUUCAGCGUUAAGUCUGUGCUAUAUUGUAAUAUUUCUCCUUUUGAUAGAUUGAUUAGCUAUUAUUUAUCUAUGUGUUGGAUGGUGCGCAGGUUUGGCUCUCUAUUACUUGUAGCUGUUGAUUGUGUUGUUUCUCGUUAUUUCCUUACAUCUAUGCUGUUCACUUAAUAAGAAAUUAAAAGUUGCAUAAUGUUGGAAUUGCGCUCGAACUGUUAUGACAGAUAUUCACACUAUUGCAGUGAUGGUUCUCAGGUAUAGGAAUAUUAGACUUUUUAUAAUACAACUUGUAAUUUGAUUGUAAUCAUAUUGAUUAAGAAUAUCUUCUUUGUAGUGGUAUAGAUUUUAUUUCCUCUUGUGUUCGUGUCAUUCGUGUUCCGUGGUCUUCCAUACAUCUAUCGGCACCCGUCUUCAACAAAUCAGGGCAGAUAUCAUUAGAGCUGGUUGUUGGCUAGGAGCAUGCUAUGUGGUGAAGUUCAUUUUUAACAUAUCUAUUUUCUGUGUUGGAUUCAUAAACAAAGCAAGGUUUGUAGUGUCUUAGAAUGAAGAUUGUAUAGUGUUUGAUUAGAUAAUCUAUAGAAAAUUAUAGAUUAUUCUCUUCCUCUGUUGUUUUGAUUAAGAAUAUCUUCUUUGUAGUGGUAGAGAUUUUAUUUCCUCUUGUGUUCGUGUCGUUCUUGUUCCAUGGUCUUCCAGGGUCUCUGCUGUUCACAGUUAAUUACAUACAACUAUCAGAACUUCCCGCUACUGCAAUGAUGGUUCUCACGUAUAUGAAUAUUAGACUUUUUAUAAUACAACUUGUAAUUUUGAUUGUAAUCAUAUUGAUUAAGAAUAUCUUCUUUGAUUAAACGUGCUACUCCAUUUUAAUUCUGAUUCAUUGAAAACGUGUGUGUAUGAUUACAGUUAAUAAAAAAUAUUGUUCUUGAUCUGUGAUACCUAUUCAAUGCUAUUGUAUCGUACCUGUAAUAAGUAUAUUCUUUGUUACGUGUAUUGUGUUUCUUCUGUUGCAGGUCGUGAAGGUUUUUCGGCUGGGUUUUUUUCCUUCACCUGAUUGGCAUCACAAUUGGCACAAUUCCCAGCACUGUUGGCUUUAAUAAAUAUAUCUCGACUUGAUUGGCAUUACAAUUGCAUUAAUAAAUAUAUUUUCACCCUU